This 492-nucleotide ribosomal RNA is filed under the name uncultured bacterium. RNAcentral's name for it is "partial 16S ribosomal RNA". It matches the Rfam family "Bacterial small subunit ribosomal RNA", at positions 29 to 507 of the family's 1533-position model. The record is from RNAcentral.
AGUGAACGCUGGCGGUAGGCCUAACACAUGCAAGUCGAACGGAAGCACAGUAAGAGCUUGCUCUUACGGGUGGCGACUGGCGGACGGGUGAGAAAUACAUCGGAAUCUAAUUUUUCGUGGGGGAUAACGUAGGGCAACUUCCGCUAAUACCGCAUACAACCUACCGGUGAAAGCAGUGGAUAUUCGGACCUUGGGCGAUUGAAUGAGCCGAGGUCGGAUUAGGUAGUUUGCUGGGUAAAGGCCCACCAAGGCGACGAUCCGUAGCCGGGCUGAGAGGAUGGACCGCCACCACGGAAACUAGGACAGGUCCCAGCUCCCUAGGGAGGCCACAGUUGGGAAUUUUUGGCAAAGGGGGAAAGCCUGAACCCGGCAAGCCGGGUUGGGUGAGAAGGUCUUUGGGUUGUUAAACCCUUUUAUUUGGGAAGAAAAAAUGUGUGUUUAACUCCCCACGUUUUGACGGUACCCAAAGAAUAAGCACCGGCUAACUUCGUG